UGACGGGGGCCCGCACAAGCGGUGGAGCAUGUGGUUUAAUUCGAUGAUACGCGAGGAACCUUACCUGGGCUCAAAUGUAUGUUGACGUAUUCUGAAAGGGAUACUUCUUCGGACAAUAUACAAGGUGCUGCAUGGUUGUCGUCAGCUCGUGCCGUGAGGUGUCGGGUUAAGUCCCAUAACGAGCGCAACCCCUAUCAUUAGUUGCCAUCAGGUCAAGCUGGGGACUCUAAUGAAACUGCCUACGCAAGUAGUGAGGAAGGUGGGGAUGACGUCAAAUCAGCACGGCCCUUACGUCCAGGGCUACACACGUGCUACAAUGGCCGGUACAAAGGGCAGCUACCUGGUGACAGGAUGCUAAUCUCAAAAGCCGGUCUCAGUUCGGAUCGGAGUCUGCAACCCGACUCCAUGAAGUUGGAAUCGCUAGUAAUCGCGCAUCAGCAUGGCGCGGUGAAUACGUUCCCGGGCCUU
Molecule: ribosomal RNA, 468 nt
Filed under: uncultured Sphingobacteriales bacterium
Lineage: Bacteria; Pseudomonadati; Bacteroidota; Sphingobacteriia; Sphingobacteriales
Description: bacterial SSU rRNA
Rfam family: Bacterial small subunit ribosomal RNA
Source: RNAcentral